AGAGUUUGAUCCUGGCUCAGAACGAACGCUGGCGGCGCGCUUAAUACAUGCAAGUCUAACGAGAAAAUUCGGCUUCGGCUGGAUGAGUAAAGUGGCGAACGGGUGAGUAACACGUGGGCAAUCUGCCCUCACGUUUGGGAUAAGCCUGGGAAACUGGGUCUAAUACCGAAUACCGUCGCGAGAAGGAUUCUUUUUGCGAUGAAAGGCGGGGUAACCUGCCGCGUGGGGAUGAGCCCGCGCUCCAUUAGCUUGUUGGUAGGGUAACGGCCUACCAAGGCGACGAUGGAUAGCCGGCCUGAGAGGGUGAACGGCCACACUGGGACUGAGAUACGGCCCAGACUCCUACGGGAGGCAGCAGUAAGGAAUCUUGCGCAAUGGACGAAAGUCUGACGCAGCGACGCCGCGUGGAUGAUGAAGCAUUUCGGUGUGUAAAAUCCUUUCAGCAGGGAAGAACCGCGAGGGUAGUAACUGACCUUCGCCUGACGGUACCUGCAGAAGAAGUCCCGGCUAACUCCGUGCCAGCAGCCGCGGUAAUACGGGGGGGACAAGCGUUGUUCGGAUUCACUGGGCGUAAAGGGCGUGUAGGCGGACUAGUAAGUCGGGUGUGAAAUCCCACGGCUCAACCGUGGGCCUGCAUCUGAAACUACUA
Molecule: ribosomal RNA, 649 nt
Filed under: uncultured bacterium
Lineage: Bacteria
Description: bacterial SSU rRNA
Rfam family: Bacterial small subunit ribosomal RNA
Source: RNAcentral